RNAcentral lists this ribosomal RNA (446 nucleotides) under uncultured bacterium. RNAcentral's name for it is "partial 16S ribosomal RNA". It matches the Rfam family "Bacterial small subunit ribosomal RNA", at positions 338 to 795 of the family's 1533-position model. The record is from RNAcentral.
CCUACGGGGUGCUGCAGUCGAGAAUCAUUCACAAUGGGGGAAACCCUGAUGGUGCGACGCCGCGUGGGGGAAUGAAGGUCUUCGGAUUGUAAACCCCUGUCAUGUGGGAGCAAAUUAAAAAGAUAGUACCACAAGAGGAAGAGACGGCUAACUCUGUGCCAGCAGCCGCGGUAAUACAGAGGUCUCAAGCGUUGUUCGGAAUCACUGGGCGUAAGGCGUGCGUAGGCUGUUUCGUAAGUCGUGUGUGAAAGGCGCGGGCUCAACCCGCGGGCGGCACAUGAUACUGCGAGACUAGAGUAAUGGAGGGGGAACCGGAAUUCUCGGUGUAGCAGUGAAAUGCGUAGAUAUCGAGAGGAACACUCGUGGCGAAGGCGGGUUCCUGGACAUUAACUGACGCUGAGGCACGAAGGCCAGGGGAGCGAAAGGGAUUAGAUACCCGUGUAGUC